RNAcentral lists this long non-coding RNA (432 nucleotides) under Capra hircus (goat). RNAcentral's name for it is "lncRNA (ENSCHIG00010011004.1)". The record is from RNAcentral. Lineage: Eukaryota; Metazoa; Chordata; Mammalia; Artiodactyla; Bovidae.
GGUUAUUGAGAAAGUAUUGGAAGGCUGCUUUAAGCAUAUUCCUGUCUUUUUUCUUUCUAAUUUUAAAAGAAGAUUUUGUCAUGUUAUUUUCAACCAGAUAGUAAAAUUCACGAGGGUGAUGAAUGUUUUCUUUCUCCUUCAGUGAUCCCAGUUCUUCAUUGGAUUUCACCGAAGAUGGACAUAUGGUCUUGCAGCAAUCACCCCAUCAGUCUGAAAGAUGGUUGUAAGGAAUGAACUGGAUAAUCUCGAGACAAAAGGGUUCUGAAACAACUAAAAACAAGGCCAAGUGUUUCAUCGGGGGAGAUAAAUAUAGCACCUUUGUGGUGAUAACAGUGAUACUGGAGAACACGUUUUCUGUUGAUGGUCAAGGCGACUUUCUAAUCCUGAAGCCUAGAGUCAGAUGGACGUCCACCAGCCCUGCUAGAUGAAGAG